UAUAUUUUUGCAGGCUCUAUUCAAGCCUUGACUUCCUUCCUGAAGAAAAUCUCCAGGACCAAGAUGAGGUGCCGGGAACUUCUGGCUCCUCAGUUCCGUCAAGUCGCUCAGCAACACCAGCAGCUGCUGCAACUGAAAGGUAAAGAACUUAUAAUAUAGGCAUACAAGACUGCAAUCACUGAAAUGCCUUGCAACCUGUACAAACAUGGCAUUUACACACUCAUUUUUACAGCCAACCAACAGAAGAUGACUUAGAGUCUGACACAGAUAGGACUCCAAGGCGGAAAAAAGCACGGCGGUCACCAAGGAAACAACAGAGGUAAAUCAAGAAUGAUUACAUAAUACACGACUACUAAAAAAACUGUUUCAACUUGCAGCCCACUGAAAGCCCCUCAGCAUGCUGCUGUAACUGCUGCCUGUAUGGAGCACCUCCAGGCGGUGCGGACUGAGAGGCAGCAGAAGCAACAACUGCAGCGGGAGCCACAAGAUGUCGUAUACCAUACGUGCAUGGCACUUGCCGCACAGCUGCGAAUGCUUGGUCCGAGAGACCAGUCAGAGGCGAUAUUCGAAAUUCAAACAAUGAUGUAUCACCGACUCCAAGGAGCCAUGAAUGAACAAAAUUCUCACUAAUGUUUUAUAUGCUUACUUCAUCCACACAUAUUUCUUCUACUUUGCUGCACCACUGUAACACUAUACUUUUUACUUCUGUUUACCUGUUAUGCAUCUUGUUUGUUUCUUUUUUCUCUUACUUGAUUUAGACUGUAUCGUCCAUUGCUUCAUGCUUUUUAUCUGUAAUCAUGUGUUCAAAUGUUAUUUAUUAUGAGCUGAACUUCUCCCUUUUUGUAUUGCUUUUACAAACGCACUGUUAAUAACAUCGCCUUCACACAAUGCUCAGGGGCCUGUAAGGUAUCUUAAAUAAACAAACAUUUUGGAUGGCAUUUCUUCCUUUGGCAUUUCUCGCUUGGCCCAUUUUCAGAUUUACUGAUAUAUGGAAUAUGUCAGGAAAUACGGUUUGUGCAGUACUGAAAGGGUGUGGUAUUCA
Molecule: long non-coding RNA, 1042 nt
Filed under: Dermacentor andersoni
Lineage: Eukaryota; Metazoa; Arthropoda; Arachnida; Ixodida; Ixodidae
Description: uncharacterized LOC126523493
Source: RNAcentral